RNAcentral lists this ribosomal RNA (479 nucleotides) under uncultured bacterium. RNAcentral describes it as "partial 16S ribosomal RNA". It matches the Rfam family "Bacterial small subunit ribosomal RNA", at positions 355 to 850 of the family's 1533-position model. The record is from RNAcentral.
UGGGGAAUAUUGCACAAUGGGCGAAAGCCUGAUGCAGCAACGCCGCGUGAGUGAUGAAGGUCUUCGGAUUGUAAAGCUCUGUCUUUUGGGACGAUAAUGACGGUACCAAAGGAGGAAGCCACGGCUAACUACGUGCCAGCAGCCGCGGUAAUACGUAGGUGGCGAGCGUUGUCCGGAUUUACUGGGCGUAAAGGGUGCGUAGGCGGAUGUUUAAGUGAGAUGUGAAAUACCCGGGCUUAACUUGGGUGCUGCAUUUCAAACUGGAUAUCUAGAGUGCAGGAGAGGAGAAUGGAAUUCCUAGUGUAGCGGUGAAAUGCGUAGAGAUUAGGAAGAACACCAGUGGCGAAGGCGAUUCUCCGGACUGUAACUGACGCUGAGGCACGAAAGCGUGGGUAGCAAACAGGAUUAGAUACCCUGGUAGUCCACGCCGUAAACGAUGAGUACUAGGUGUAGGAGGUNUCGACCCCUUCUGUGCCGCA